GGGAAGCUGGCAGCUGUGUUGGAAACACCCAUGGAAGGGAACUGAGGUCUCCCACCAACAACCAGCCCUACCUGGCAGCCAGUGAGUGAGCCACUCUGCAAGUGGAUCUUCCACCUCCAGACAAGCCUUCAGCUGAGGACAGACCUGGCUGACACCUGAACGGAGCCGCAUAUGGGUCACCCAGCCAGUGCUCCCGCAUUUCAGACCAACAGAAACUGUGAGAGAUGAUCAACGUUUAUGUUGUUUGAAGCCACUAAAUUUGGGGGUAAUUUGUUAAGCAGUAAUAGACACAUUGAAUUGCUUUCAAAGCUGCACGAUAUGGGUUUUGGGUCACGUCAACCAGAGAGAGAAAGGCAUGAGGGACUCAAGAAACACUUUGAGUAAAUUUGUUUUCCUUUUUUUCACCAACAAAAUUGAAUUUGAGGCCAAUAUUUGAAAGCUUUGUACUAUAUAACUGCUGAAAUACAUUUUAUUCUUAAUGCGUUUCCAAAUGACCUGUUGUCCAUAGAAAAGUACACUCAACACUGAAUGCUUCUACUACUCUGAAGAGCAAGACAGCUCGAAGUGGAAUUCACUCAGGCAUCUCAUAGCACGAAAUCAUCUCAUAGCCUUUCAGACCCUAUCUUCACGGUCACCUUUCAAUCGUUUGAGUCCCUGGGCCACGGCAUCCCCUGACGUUUCGGAAAGCAGGAACGGAGGGAUACAACGAAAUAAAUUAUUUGGGAAGGGACUGGGCUAGGGACCCUACUGGAUGUUGGUGGCGAAACUUUUAAAUCAUUUACAAAACACCAGUCCCGAUCUCCUCUGGGAGACUGAGCUGUUGUUACCUCUUCUCCCGGCGUCCCUGCCCGCGGAAGUUCGCUCCUAGGGAAGUCGCUCGCGUCCUCAACAGCACGGGAGAGGAUCUCGGCGAAGCGGAAGGCUCUGGUGCCAGCUGGGAGAGUCGGCGCCGGAUUUCCUCGGCUCCCUGGCGCGUUUCCUCGGAGGCGGGGGAGGCCGAACACGGACCCCGGAGUCGGCGCCCAAAGCGGGGCGCCCUCGCUCGGGGCGGGAGUGCUGGGAGGUGGGUGUGCGGGCGGCGCGCUCGCCCUCCAGCUGCAGCCCGCGCGGAGCGCGCACUGCCUGCGAGCGCCGGCGUCUCCAGCAUGGAGUGGGAACUCAACUUGCUGCUCUACCUGGCGCUCUUCUUCUUCCUGCUCUUCUUACUUUUCCUCCUGCUCUUCGUGGUCAUCAAGCAGCUGAAGAACUCCGUGGCCAACACGGCCGGGGCGCUACAGCCCGGGCGCCUCUCGGUGCACCGCGAGCCUUGGGGUUUCUCUCGAGAGCAAGCGGUGUGACCCGAGUGCGGGCACAGGCGGGAGGGCACCGAGCUGCGCGGGCGCUGGGCUGGGUCUCCGCCUGGAUUCUCAGUCCUUGCGGCCUCCCAGCUUCCAGAGCCUAGAGCCUAGAGCCUCUGCCCUUGACUGGUGCAUAAAGAACCACAGCUGCAAUGACAGUUUGGGCCUGCGAAGAGAAGGAUGGAACGACAGGAGAGGGAAGCUUUCUGCAAAUGGGCACAGCUGUAGAUGCAGAACUGAUGCCAUCUGGUGUGAUUCUACAGAAUAAGAGAGAAAAUUUACCCAGAGUGUGCCAUGCACUGGCUUUUCUGGGAAUGGCAAGGUGCCAGGAUUUGUUUUUGGUUCACUUGCAGGGGUGGAAGCUUGGAACUAGGUUCCAAGAUGGUCCCUGCAGCUCCCCACAAGAAGGAGGGAGCCCACAGAGAAAGCAAGCCAUGCCAGUUCAAAUCCACUUCCUUUUAAAGAGCCUCCUCAGCACCCCAAUAACUUCUGCCUUCAUCUCAUUGGCCAGGACUGUGUCAUUGGCUACUGCUAUCUGCAAGAUUGUCUGAGAAAUGUAGGUUUUGUUGCUGGAGCUAUAACUGCCUUUCACAAAAUCCAGUUUCUCUUGAUAAGGAAGAAGAUGGUGGUGAAUCUUGGGAAGACAACUAACAGUUUAUGCCCUGGUUACAAAAUAAAAUUGCAGAAGAGCAUAAAGUUCAAAAAUAUCAAAAUGUAGUUCCUUCACAACUGGCAAAGCUCCAAGCAUCACUGCUUCCCUCUGAGAGAGUGAGCAGAGCGAAGGCAUAUCCGGUUUUCUCACAAAGCACUUGACGGGACUGACCUUCUCUUUCAAUCAAUAUCCUUGUCACACAUCAGGAUUUUCUAGAGGGCUCUGGGUACCUGCAUACUUCCUUGGUGACCAUAACCUCUUAAUGGAGGGUUGUAUAAGAUAAAUAGUGUACUACUGUGCUGCUCCCUCAUCUGCAUCAUUUCUCUCCUCCCUAAUUUUCCUGUCAGUUAUAUUUUGGUGGAGUCUGGGUUUGUGUAUUUGAUGCCUAUAAAAAGACCAUCACUUUCAUGCAUGGAGGAGGGGAAUCCUUGCAAAGAAAGUCUACCUUACUCCCUUCUGUGACUCCACCACCAAUCUAGGAAUAUCCUGGGAGAAGAAUUGCCUCUCAAAACUGCUUCCAUAGCAGCCUACAUCCUAGUUAAGCAAAGAAGAAACACUUCCCACAUCUAGGGCUGUCUAAAAGAACUUUCUGUGAUGACAGAAAUGUUCUAUAUCUGCAGUGUCCAAUAUGGUAACCACUAGCCACGUGUGGUGAGUGAACACUUGAAAUGCGGCUAUUGUGACUGAGGAAGUAAAAUUGAAAUUUUGUUUAAUUGUAAUUAAUUUAAAUUCAAAUAGCCAAAUGGGGCUACUGACUAUGAUAUUAGAUAGCACAGUACACUUUAUUCUCUUUCUUGUGUUGUAGAACCAGCAGGGAGAUGCGUGGGCCAGUCAUGGGCUUGAUGUCCCACGGUCUUCACUAUUCUACCUUGCCAUUGAACUUGUCUCCCAGAGGAAAAGAAAGAAUGGUAUUUGGAAUUGAAUUCAAGAUGUUAACUUGACAUCUAUAUAUUGCACAUAUUCCUGUAUAGUGAAUGGAAUGGUCUCCUGGGAAUAGGUUCUGUGAUUGAUUUUAGUGAUAACUGGUCAUGAAGAAAUGGCCAUACUGCUCCACUUCACCUUCCUAGUGACUAUUACAUAUUCCUAGUCAGAGUGACUCAGCAGAGAUUAUUUUGUUCUCUUGUGCAAUUUAUUCUGUGUAAUUUUAUUUUUGUAAUAUUGUGGCAGCUAAAUGAUUAUUCUGUGUAUGUUUUUCAAAAUAUUAGGUGGCUUAUAUUUUUAAAAAUGCUAUGAAAUAAAAAUAAACUAUAUGUUAACACAGUU
Saimiri boliviensis boliviensis (Bolivian squirrel monkey) is the source of this 3252-nucleotide non-coding RNA. The record is from RefSeq and is a predicted model, not a curated record. NCBI's taxonomy places the organism in Eukaryota, Metazoa, Chordata, Mammalia, Primates, Cebidae.